GGGUACCCUCGUACAUUGCCGUGGUAAUAGCAGUGACCCGUGUAAUUGCGUGAGAGAACCACAUCAGUACCAUCCUUCAAAUAAUGUGUUUCUGUGAAGCUGCUGGCUAGCAGGCCCUCGUUCCUCUCCAGGUGGAUGACCAGACGUUCCCCUUCAGCUUGUACCACCAACUGCAGCAGGGACGGGUGGUUCUUGGAAUAAAUGCUGUUUGCUGGUCUCCACUGUUCUCCAUUCAAAAGGAGGGGAACUGUUAUCUCAUAAUCUUUUGACUGGUCCUUCAGCAUCUGCUGUCUCAAGGACUCCAACUUGCUGUCCACAUUCUGACCUCGCGCUCGGGGUGAUGCUAGGAGCAGCGCGCUGAGGCUCAGCAGCAGCACGGAGGGGCGCGGAGCGGGGGAGCGCUGCCGCUCCGCAAGGAGACGCUUUGACAUCUUAGCCCGGACUGAGGGAGACAAACUUUCAUCAGCUGGGGCUGGAGAGCAGCACCAUCAUAUACAGUUACAGAGAGGAGCGAGCCGGGACUCAGGAUGUGAGAGAUUUCCUGCAUGCAGUUAACUCCAAACCCCUCCUGCUCCUGCAUCAGCCGCUGAUGAGUUGGGCUCUGCUUUCUUAGGAAAAAAAAAAAAAAAAAGUUUGGUGCUUUUUUUUUUUUUUUCUUCUGUUUAAAGAGUCCCUCUCUCUCUCUCUCCCUCUCUCUUUUUGGCAAGGUUAAUUCUGUUGACCGUUGCACCAAACGAACCGCCCGGCCCGGCCGGGCUGCGCUCCCCGCACCGAACAGCUGAGCCCCGCACGCUGCUGGCACCGCCCCCCGCCCCGCACCGCACCGCAGCUGCCCGGCUUCCCCCAUUCCCGCAGCGCUGUGCUGAAGUACCCGACAACACACGCGCAGAGCUGCCAGAUGCAUUUGUUCAAAUCUUCCUCCUUCAAAUGAUCGUUACCAACCGGGAGAAUAACCUAACACGGAUUAUCUAAUCCUUGGUGUGCCACCAAAGCACACACAGUGCCCACGCGUUGCACGGUGCUGCAGAGCAACAGAAAGUUCCCAGUCCUGCAGACCAACACAGAACUUUACAGUGCAGUUUUAUUUUUGGGUCAGUUUUCUCCAGUCUUGCAGUUUGGGUGUUGAUACUGAUUUCUGCCUGUUGAUCCCAUAUUCUUUCUACAUUAAACAACCGGUUAGAGGGGUUCACGUUGGAUUAUAGGAACAAUUUCUUCUCCAAAAGAGCACUGAGGUGCUGGCACAGCUGCCCUGGGAACAGGGGGUCACUGUUCCUGGAGGUGUUCCAGUGCCAUGGGGAUGUGGCACUGAGGGACGUGGGCAGUGGGCAUGGCAGGUUUAGGUUGGAUAUGAGGAGGAAGCUUUUCACCCAGAGGGUGGUGACGCACUGAACAGGUUGCCCAAGGAGCUGUGGAUGCCCCAUCCCUGGAGGCACUCAAGGCCAGGCUGGAUGUGGCUCUGGGCAGCCUGGUCUGCUGGUUGGUGAGCCUGCACAUAGCAGGGGGGUUGAAACUAGAUUAUCUUUGAGGUCCUUUUCAACCCAGGCCAUUCUGUGAUGC
This 1557-nucleotide long non-coding RNA is filed under the name Gallus gallus (chicken). Lineage: Eukaryota; Metazoa; Chordata; Aves; Galliformes; Phasianidae. The record is from RNAcentral.